Phascolarctos cinereus (koala) is the source of this 278-nucleotide non-coding RNA. Lineage: Eukaryota; Metazoa; Chordata; Mammalia; Diprotodontia; Phascolarctidae. The record is from RefSeq and is a predicted model, not a curated record.
CAAUUUAGGAGGCUACUGCAAGAAUCCAGAUAAUGAGACUAUGAGCUCCUGAAGAAUGAGAUUAUCUGCUCCUCAAGACACAAAGAAUUCUUUCUUCCCCUUCACUCAAGAGACAGUGUUUCCUGCGUACGCAGUGGUGGCGGACUAUGAAUUGAGCUGGGGCAGAGAAGAUGUUGGAAGCCAGGCAUGUGAGGCAUGUGAGAUGAUGCAGCCGAGACCUGAACACAAGAUACAACCUGACCUUACCCUGAGCAGAGACAGCAGAAACAGACAACAAG